Molecule: ribosomal RNA, 292 nt
Filed under: uncultured bacterium
Lineage: Bacteria
Description: partial 16S ribosomal RNA
Rfam family: Bacterial small subunit ribosomal RNA
Source: RNAcentral
GUGCCAGCAGCCGCGGUAAUACGUAGGCAGCAAGCGUUGUUCGGAGUUACUGGGCGUAAAGGGUGUGUAGGCGGUCCCCUAAGUUUGGUGUGAAAUCUCCCGGCUCAACUGGGAGGGUGCGCCGAAAACUGGGGGGCUAGAGUACUGGAUGGGAGAGUGGAAUUCCUGGUGUAGCGGUGAAAUGCGUAGAUAUCAGGAGGAACACCUGUGGUGUAGACGGCUCUCUGGACAGUAACUGACGCUGAGACACGAAAGCGUGGGUAGCAAACAGGAUUAGAUACCCUGGUAGUCC